This 216-nucleotide ribosomal RNA is filed under the name Glomeromycotina sp. Its description in RNAcentral is "partial small subunit ribosomal RNA". The stretch from base 40 to 216 matches the Rfam family "Eukaryotic small subunit ribosomal RNA", at positions 686 to 864 of the family's 1831-position model. The record is from RNAcentral. Lineage: Eukaryota; Fungi; Glomeromycota.
GGGUCAGUAGGUUGGUCGUGCCACCGGUACGUACUGGUCUCACUGAUUCCUCCUUCCUGAAGAACCGUAAUGCCAUUAAUUUGGUGUUGCGGGGAGACAGGACUGUUACUUUGAAAAAAUUAGAGUGUUUAAAGCAAGCUAAUGCUUGAAUACAUUAGCAUGGAAUAAUGAAAUAGGACGAUCGAUCCUAUUUUGUUGGUUUCUAGGAUUGACGUA